This 253-nucleotide ribosomal RNA is filed under the name uncultured bacterium. Its description in RNAcentral is "partial 16S ribosomal RNA". It matches the Rfam family "Bacterial small subunit ribosomal RNA", at positions 524 to 776 of the family's 1533-position model. The record is from RNAcentral.
UACAGAGGUCCCAAGCGUUGUUCGGAUUCACUGGGCGUAAAGGGUGCGUAGGUGGUUGGGUAAGUCUAAUGUGAAAUCUCCGAGCUUAACUCGGAAACUGCAUCGGAUACUAUCCAGCUAGAGGGUUGGAGGGGGGACUGGAAUACUUGGUGUAGCAGUGAAAUGCGUAGAUAUCAAGUGGAACACCAGUGGCGAAGGCGAGUCCCUGGACAACUCCUGACACUGAGGCACGAAAGCUAGGGGAGCAAACGGG